AGGGGUUGGUUUCAUCUCUUUUCUUUGAUGCAUCUUACUUUUCCCUCGAAAAUCGCUCUCACAAAGCUCUACCCCUCAGGGCUUUUUAUUUCCCUCAGCUGGAGAGUUUUUGAUGGCUUGUCCAUCCCCCUCAUCUCAAAGAAAGUAGCUCAGAGUACCUGUCAAACCUGUGGGUUUUAGUUUUGUAAUAAUGCAAACAAGCUUUACUUACAUUCAAGGCACAAGCUUUCUUUCUGAUUCUAAUUAUGUGAAAACAUCUAUUGUGUUACGUUUUACUAAAUAUUUUUUGGGGAGCCUCUUGUAAAAUUGACAGUCAAUUCACAGCGUUGUCUCUUGAAUAGAUAAACCGGCCGUUUCAAAGAAACAAACCCUAUUUAAAAAAAAAAGAAGACCAAAUAGAUGCAACACGCCUACAUACUUUUCAUUUCCUCUCAUCAGUAGAACAACAUUAAUGCAAUCUACUCUUUCACAUUUGAUUCACGUAGGCGACAAUAACUCGAACAUUGAUGCUCCCUCAUGUGGACCCAAGCUUUACCGCGGAUGUGAAUCUUGAAUAUGAGACUGGACUCAUGUGCCUGGAAACAAAUAUAUGGAACAAUUUCAAAAUUUAUUUGGCGACCCACAAUAAGAUAUUUGGCAACUCACUGUUUGGGAAAUUACUCGUAUGAAGAAUGACUUUUAUCUGUGUGGAAGGGGAGUGCCAAUGUGUGAAAUCUCACACUAAUGGCUCCUAUAAUGUUUAUUUAAAGAAGAUGCUGCUUUCUUGUGACGAAAGUCCUCUAUUUUCCACCACAGCCCCAUGAGCCACACCAUACAUGGCACAGCCAUGACCCAAACAACCUGUGAGCUAAUCAGCUCCGCUGUGAAACAGAGCUUUUCUAAAGGCCGAGCAGAACUUUUCACCCCCCACAAAAGAGUCAUUGUUGAUCUGACUGACGUGUGGGCCGACUGAAAAGAACUGUGUUUGUGGUGCAGAGGAGAUGGCAUAUCAUCAGAGAGGACUUCUGAAGAACUGCCAUCGUUCCGGUAGUUUAAAAAGAGCUGAGGAUUCGGAACAUCAAUAAAGCAGUAAAGAAGUAUUUGCUUUGUUAAGUCAUAGUGGAAUAAAGUCUUCCUCCGGAGAUAAGUUGUUCUAGUUCUGUGCAAACGCCCACAACGAAUUUACAAGCCGCCUCCGCUCCUCGCUGUCAUUUCCCCAAAGGAGCCCAACAAACCACCCCACCGGGCCCGAGAAUGUUCCAGCGUUGGCAGCCGUUUGAGUACCGCUCAACGAACCUGGCAUCUGCUUUGCAUUUUGAUCGGGAACAAACGGUCCAAACGUCACCGAAAAUCCCCACUCUGUGUAGUAAUGAAACGAUUACUGCAUGCAGCAAUUCGAUGCCUUGAAGGCAUGCGUGUCUUUGGAAAUGUCCGUUUUAGUUUGAUAAUAUGCAACAAACAACAAAGUACAUUUCCAUGAUUACAGCUGCCAAUUAACACACACACAGCUAUUUGUCAAGCGAGUAUCGUGGGGUCAAAAUCCCUGCAGAGCAUGUUACGUGUUUGCAAAUACUUGCCUGUGUUGUUUUCCCAUUAAUUUUUCAUCAACUCCUCUUGUCUGCUGUCAUUCUGGUGUUUUUUGAUAGGGCCAGAUGAAAUUAGCCUCCUGCAUAAUUGAUGUUUGUAAUGUUCAGGCACAUGUUUUC
Long non-coding RNA from Gasterosteus aculeatus aculeatus (three-spined stickleback), 1685 nucleotides. Lineage: Eukaryota; Metazoa; Chordata; Actinopteri; Perciformes; Gasterosteidae. The record is from Ensembl.